RNAcentral lists this ribosomal RNA (492 nucleotides) under uncultured bacterium. Its description in RNAcentral is "partial 16S ribosomal RNA". It matches the Rfam family "Bacterial small subunit ribosomal RNA", at positions 38 to 507 of the family's 1533-position model. The record is from RNAcentral.
AGGGAAAGAGGGAGGGAGGAAGAAAAAAGGAAAGUAGAAUGGAAGCACAGUAGGAGCUUGCUCUUACGGGUGGCGAGUGGCGGACGGGUGAGGAAUACAUCGGAAUCUACUUUUUUGUGGGGGAUAACGUAGGGAAACUUACGCUAAUACCGCAUACGACCUACGGGUGAAAGCAUGGGAUCUUCGGACCUUGCGCGAUUGAAUGAGCCGAUGUCGGAUUAGCUAGUUGGCGGGGUAAAGGCCCACCAAGGCGACGAUCCGUAGCUGGUCUGAGAGGAUGAUCAGCCACACUGGAACUGAGACACGGUCCAGACUCCUACGGGAGGCAGCAGUGGGGAAUAUUGGACAAUGGGCGCAAGCCUGAUCCAGCCAUACCGCGUGGGUGAAGAAGGCCUUCGGGUUGUAAAGCCCUUUUGUUGGGAAAGAAAAGCAGCAGGUUAAUACCCCGCUGUUCUGACGGUACCAAAAGAAUAAGCACCGGCUAACUUCGUA